This 497-nucleotide ribosomal RNA is filed under the name uncultured bacterium. RNAcentral's name for it is "partial 16S ribosomal RNA". It matches the Rfam family "Bacterial small subunit ribosomal RNA", at positions 28 to 507 of the family's 1533-position model. The record is from RNAcentral.
GAUGAACGCUGGCGGCGUGCCUAAUACAUGCAAGUCGAGCGGACGGACGGGUAGCUUUCUUGGCUGUUGUUAGCCGCGGGCGGGUGUGUAACACGUGGAUACUCUACCUGUCAGACUGGGAGCACUUCGGGAAACGGUAUAAAAUACCAGAUCAUAUUUUGAAGCGAUUGGUUCAUAGGUGAAAGACGGUCUUGCUGGCACGUAUAUAUGGAUCCGGGCUGCAUUAGCGAGUUGGUAAGGUAACGGCAUACCAAGGCAACGAUGCAUAGCCGAGCGGAUAGGGUGAUCGGCCACACUGGAACUGGGACACGGACCAGGCUCCUACGGGAGGGAGCAGUAGGGAAUGUUACGCAAUGGGCGAGAUCCUGACACAGCAACGCCGCGUGCGUGAUGAAGAACUUCGGAUCGUGAAACUCUGUUAGUAGGGAAGAACAGAUGUAUAAGUAGCUGUGGACAUAUUGACGGUAACUAGUCAAAAAGCCACGGCUAACUACGUG